This 521-nucleotide ribosomal RNA is filed under the name uncultured bacterium. RNAcentral's name for it is "bacterial SSU rRNA". It matches the Rfam family "Bacterial small subunit ribosomal RNA", at positions 355 to 893 of the family's 1533-position model. The record is from RNAcentral.
UGGGGAAUAUUGGACAAUGGGCGCAAGCCUGAUCCAGCCAUGCCGCGUGAGUGAUGACGGCCUUAGGGUUGUAAAGCUCUUUCGCUCGGGACGAUAAUGACGGUACCGAGAUAAGAAGCCCCGGCUAACUUCGUGCCAGCAGCCGCGGUAAUACGAAGGGGGCGAGCGUUGUUCGGAUUUACUGGGCGUAAAGGGCGCGUAGGCGGCGUAAGAAGUCAGGCGUGAAAGCCCCGGGCUCAACCUGGGAAUUGCGCUUGGGACUCUCAUGCUGGAGUUCGGGAGAGGAGCGUGGAAUUCCCAGUGUAGAGGUGAAAUUCGUAGAUAUUGGGAAGAACACCGGUGGCGAAGGCGGCGCUCUGGACCGAUACUGACGCUGAGGCGCGAAAGCGUGGGGAGCAAACAGGAUUAGAUACCCUGGUAGUCCACGCUGUAAACGAUGUGUGCCAGACGUUGGGGGGCCUAGCUCUCCGGUGUCGCCGCUAACGCUUUAAGCACACCGCCUGGGGAGUACGGCCGCAAGG